AGGUAAAAUAUUUUUCGUAGUGCUGCAACCGUUGUGCGCUGAAACCGGAAGUGACGCGCGUAUACGUGACUCCUGACCUUUCUGCUUGCUUCUUGGAAUAUGUUACUGCGCAGACUCCAACACUUCGUGUGAUUCGCUCGGGCAAGGAGGCUCGGGCUACCACCGGUGUACUACAUCUUUAAUAGACAGCAUCUUUCAUUUAACUACAGGCCAGGUACCAGUGACAACAUCUAUGCAAGAUGGAAACCUUCAUUAAAAACUGCCUGCAUUUCUAUUACCCAA
Molecule: long non-coding RNA, 282 nt
Organism: Branchiostoma floridae (Florida lancelet)
Lineage: Eukaryota; Metazoa; Chordata; Leptocardii; Amphioxiformes; Branchiostomatidae
Exons: 2
Source: RefSeq, a predicted model, not a curated record